Molecule: ribosomal RNA, 261 nt
Filed under: uncultured archaeon
Lineage: Archaea
Description: partial 16S ribosomal RNA
Rfam family: Archaeal small subunit ribosomal RNA
Source: RNAcentral
CAGCCGUAAACUAUGCGCGUUAGGUGUACUGGUGACCACGAGUCACCGGGGUGCCGAAGGGAAACCGUGAAACGUGCCGCCUGGGAAGUACGGUCGCAAGGCUGAAACUUAAAGGAAUUGGCGGGGGAGCACCACAACAGGUGGAGCCUGCGGUUUAAUUGGACUCAACGCCGGACAUCUCACCGGAUAAGACAGCUGAAUGAUUGCCGGGCUGAAGACUCUGCAUGACUAGCUGAGAGGAGGUGCAUGGCGUCAGUGACU